Molecule: ribosomal RNA, 253 nt
Filed under: uncultured bacterium
Lineage: Bacteria
Description: partial 16S ribosomal RNA
Rfam family: Bacterial small subunit ribosomal RNA
Source: RNAcentral
UACGUAGGUGGCAAGCGUUGUCCGGAUUUACUGGGCGUAAAGCGCCCGCAGGCGGCCUGUUAAGUUCGAGGUGAAAUCUCCCGGCUCAACUGGGAGGGUGCCUCGAAAACUGGCAGGCUUGAGGCAGGGAGAGGGAUGCAGAAUUCCCGGUGUAGCGGUGAAAUGCGUAGAUAUCGGGAGGAAUACCAGUGGCGAAGGCGGCAUCCUGGCCCUGUCCUGACGCUCAGGGGCGAAAGCGUGGGGAGCAAACCGG